This 71-nucleotide transfer RNA is filed under the name Schleiferilactobacillus harbinensis. Its description in RNAcentral is "tRNA-Gly". It matches the Rfam family "tRNA". Rfam says of the family: Transfer RNA (tRNA) molecules are approximately 80 nucleotides in length. Their secondary structure includes four short double-helical elements and three loops (D, anti-codon, and T loops). The record is from RNAcentral. Lineage: Bacteria; Bacillati; Bacillota; Bacilli; Lactobacillales; Lactobacillaceae.
GCGAAUGUAGUUCAGUGGUAGAGCAACAGGUUUCCAACCUGUCGAUGUGGGUUCGACUCCCAUCAUUCGCU